This 496-nucleotide ribosomal RNA is filed under the name uncultured bacterium. RNAcentral's name for it is "partial 16S ribosomal RNA". It matches the Rfam family "Bacterial small subunit ribosomal RNA", at positions 29 to 507 of the family's 1533-position model. The record is from RNAcentral.
AUGAACGCUGGCGGCGUGCCUAAUACAUGCAAGUCGAGCGAACGGACGAGAAGCUUGCUUCUCUGAUGUUAGCGGCGGACGGGUGAGUAACACGUGGAUAACCUACCUAUAAGACUGGGAUAACUUCGGGAAACCGGAGCUAAUACCGGAUGAUAUUUUGAACCGCAUGGUUCAAAAGUGAAAGACGGUCUUGCUGUCACUUAUAGAUGGAUCCGCGCUGCAUUAGCUAGUUGGUAAGGUAAUGGCUUACCAAGGCAACGAUGCAUAGCCGACCUGAGAGGGUGAUCGGCCACACUGGAACUGAGACACGGUCCAGACUCCUACGGGAGGCAGCAGUAGGGAAUCUUCCGCAAUGGGCGAAAGCCUGACGGAGCAACGCCGCGUGAGUGAUGAGGGUCUUCGGAUCGUAAAACUCUGUUAUUAGGGAAGAACAUAUGUGUAAGUAACUGUGCACAUCUUGACGGUACCUAAUCAGAAAGCCACGGCUAACUACGUG